This 29-nucleotide non-coding RNA is filed under the name Rattus norvegicus (Norway rat). Lineage: Eukaryota; Metazoa; Chordata; Mammalia; Rodentia; Muridae. The record is from RNAcentral.
UGUCAAGAUAGGACAUGGGCAUAAGUAGC